Molecule: long non-coding RNA, 613 nt
Filed under: Carica papaya (papaya)
Lineage: Eukaryota; Viridiplantae; Streptophyta; Magnoliopsida; Brassicales; Caricaceae
Description: long non-coding RNA (CPAP_LNC011599)
Source: RNAcentral
UUUGCAGCAAAUGGCUUAAAUGAAGCUAGGGUGGAUCUCAACGUUUCAAAAUCCUCUUCCAAAUAUGCAUACAUUUUUUUCAAUUUUUCUUGUCUUUCCCCGUACUUUUCUUGAUCAUCCUCUUCAUUUAAUUUGGCUACUUCCUUGACAUCAAGGUCUUUUUCUAGCUUAAUGAGCAUUUUGGACACAUACUCAUUAAUUGCAUUAGUAUUAAAGCAUUCAUCAGUGUCCAAAUGAAAUUUUGAGGCAUGAAAAAUGUUAAAAGUUCUUGUUUGUCUCCAACCCGUAAUGUUAACUUACCAUAUUGCACAUCGAUUAAUGUUUUGCUUGUUGCGAGGAAGGGUCUCUCAAGUAUGAGUGGAACUUCUCUAUCAACUUCCAUGUCGAGAAUUACGAAGACGAUAGAGAAUAUGAAGUUCUCCAUAUUUAUCAACACAUCCUUAACUAUUCCCAAGGAGUAUCACACUGAUUUACUCACCAAUUGCAAUGACAUUGUUGUGGGCUUUACGUCACUAAUACUCAACUUUUUAAACAUAGAAUAAGGCAUUCAGUUAUGCCUACGAUCAUAUCUUCAAGUGAGCUUCUUUUCUUAAGGCUAAAAUCCUGGGGGAGG